Molecule: ribosomal RNA, 80 nt
Filed under: Flaviramulus basaltis
Lineage: Bacteria; Pseudomonadati; Bacteroidota; Flavobacteriia; Flavobacteriales; Flavobacteriaceae
Source: RNAcentral
UCUUACCAUUCCGAACAGAGAAGUUAAGCCCAUUAGCGCCGAUGGUACUGCAUUUGUGGGAGAGUAGGUCGUUGCCUUUU